Phascolarctos cinereus (koala) is the source of this 213-nucleotide non-coding RNA. The record is from RefSeq and is a predicted model, not a curated record. NCBI's taxonomy places the organism in Eukaryota, Metazoa, Chordata, Mammalia, Diprotodontia, Phascolarctidae.
CUAGCAUCAGCACCAGCCUUUGCCAGCUGCCACACACAGAGAAUAUGACUCAAACCCACAGCUGGGCCAUGGGAUGGGAAUGGGAGUUACUAGAGAAACUCUAGAAGGGGGCACUAGAGGAAAAGCUAGUCUGUUCUAUGGAGAGAAAUCAGCUUAAAGAGAGAUUAACUUACAGCUCUAACAGCUCUAACACAGGCCUGAAGAGAAACUCAC